UUAUACUUUAGUAUUUAUGUACAAAGGUUUUUGAUACCUUAAGAAAUAAUUUAAUUUAUUAUGUAUA
RNAcentral lists this transfer RNA (67 nucleotides) under Cassidinae sp. ACP-2018. Its description in RNAcentral is "tRNA-Gln". The record is from RNAcentral. Lineage: Eukaryota; Metazoa; Arthropoda; Insecta; Coleoptera; Chrysomelidae.